This 520-nucleotide ribosomal RNA is filed under the name uncultured bacterium. Its description in RNAcentral is "bacterial SSU rRNA". It matches the Rfam family "Archaeal small subunit ribosomal RNA", at positions 345 to 866 of the family's 1478-position model. The record is from RNAcentral.
AACCUCCGCAAUGUGAGAAAUCGCGACGGGGGGAUCCCAAGUGCCAUUCUUAACGGGAUGGCUUUUCAUUAGUGUAAAGAGCUUUUGGAAUAAGAGCUGGGCAAGACCGGUGCCAGCCGCCGCGGUAACACCGGCAGCUCUAGUGGUAGCAAUUUUUAUUGGGCCUAAAGCGUCCGUAGCCGGUUUAAUAAGUCUCUGGUGAAAUCCUGCAGCUUAACUGUGGGAAUUGCUGGAGAUACUAUUAGACUUGAGAUCGGGAGAGGUUAGAGGUACUCCCAGGGUAGAGGUGAAAUUCUGUAAUCCUGGGAGGACCGCCUGUUGCGAAGGCGUCUAACUGGAACGAUUCUGACGGUGAGGGACGAAAGUUAGGGGCGCGAACCGGAUUAGAUACCCGGGUAGUCCUAACUGUAACGAUGCGGACUUGGUGUUGGGGUGGCUUUGAGCUGCUCCAGUGCCGAAGGGAAGCUGUUAAGUCCGCCGCCUGGGAAGUACGGUCGCAAGACUGAAACUUAAAGGAAUU